AUCGAUGAAGAACGCAGCGAAAUGCGAUAAGUAAUGUGAAUUGCAGAAUUCAGUGAAUCAUCGAAUCUUUGAACGCACCUUGCGCCCUUUGGUAUUCCGAAGGGCAUGCCUGUUUGAGUAUCAUGAACACCUCAACUCUUCAUGGUUUUCCAUGAUGAGCUUGGACGUUGGGGGUCUUGCUGGCCUGCGGUCGGCUCCUCUCAAAUGAAUCAGCUUACCAGUGUUUGGUGGGCAUCACAGGUGUGAUAACUAUCUGCGCUUGUGGUUUUCCACCAAGUAACCUUCAGCAGUGGAGGUUCACUGGAGCUCACAGACGUCUCUCCUCAGUGAGGACAGCCCUUUGAAUGUUUGAUCUCAAAUCAGGUAGGACUACCCGCUGAACUUAAGCAUAUCAAUAAGCGGAGGAAAAGAAACUAACAAGGAUUCCCCUAGUAACUGCGAGUGAAGCGGGAAGAGCUCAAAUUUAAAAUCUGGCGUGCCUCUGGUCGUCCGAGUUGUAGUCUGGAGAAGCGUUUUCCGUGUUGGACCGUGUAUAAGUCUCUUGGAACAGGGCGUCAUAGAGGGUGAGAAUCCCGUCUUUGACACGGACUACCAAUGCUAUGUGAUGCGCUCUCAAAGAGUCGAGUUGUUUGGGAAUGCAGCUCAAAAUGGGUGGUAAAUUCCAUCUAAAGCUAAAUACAGGCGAGAGACCGAUAGCGAACAAGUACCGUGAGGGAAAGAUGAAAAGCACUUUGGAAAGAGAGUUAAACAGUACGUGAAAUUGCUGAAAGGGAAACGCUUGAAGUCAGUCACGUCUGCCAGGACUCAGCCUUGCUUCUGCUUGGUGCACUUUCUGGUUUGAUGGGCCAACAUCGAUUUUGACCGUUGGAGAAAGGCUUUGGGAAUGUGGCACCUUUUGGUGUGUUAUAGCCCUUUGUUGUAUACAACGGUUGGGAUUGAGGACUGCAGCACGCCUUCAUGGCCGGGGUUCGCCCACGUACGUGCUUAGGAUGUUGGCAUAAUGGCUUUAAGCGACCCGUCUUGAAACACGG
Molecule: ribosomal RNA, 1031 nt
Filed under: uncultured Basidiomycota
Lineage: Eukaryota; Fungi; Basidiomycota
Description: eukaryotic LSU rRNA
Rfam family: Eukaryotic large subunit ribosomal RNA (bases 350-1031)
Source: RNAcentral